UUUGCACCAAAGUGAAAGUGGCUGCGAGUGUAUGAACCCCACAUGUUCUAGUUAUGGCACGCAAUACUUAGCUGUAAAAACUAUAAUAAUGUGAUCCAAUUGCAUUGUUAGAAUAUUAUUAUUGUUUUUUCCUACAUAAGUAUAAUGCAAGACCAAGAAAUCUCAAAUGAAAUGUAUUAAUUUAGGAGGGUAUGAAUUCUGAAACCCCCUUUGGUUUUAGUCUAAAUCUAGGAUUCUUCCAAGGAAGACUUGUUUCUUUUCUCAGUCAUUCUCCACCAACUUUGCAUCUAUAGAAACUUUAAUACAACACUAAGAGCUAGUAGAAGGUCAACAGAAGCAAAUAAUAGCUUAUAGUGAAAGCUCUUUUUGGAUAGCAUAGAAUAUAGACUAAGCAGUAUUAAGAGUGCAACUUCUUAGACCAUAUAUAUAAACAUGGCUUAAUUAAUAUGUAGAAAUUCCAAAACAAAGAUGUAGAACAAACCUAUAAAAAUUAGAAGUGAACAAGAGAGAACACUUGAAUUAUAAGAAUGAGCGACUAAAAAUCAGAAAUUAUUCAUGCACAGCUAGUGGUUAUUCAUCCGGCAGUUUUUAAUUUGCUCAACGAGUGAAGAAAAUGUACUAAAUAAAAUAAUGUCAACGUCUCGACAGCUGAAUAUAUGACGUUAUCAAGAGAUAAUAACCAUUUGCACAAAAACAGGUCUAGCUUGAGAACUCGUAAGUCGUACCGAGCACUUGCCGUCUAUUCCAAUGAACAUCCGAUUUCUGAUCGGAAAUUCUUUGGCAUCUGAUUAGUAUUAAUUUAAAUGUUCCAACAGGGAAUGUGCCCUAUAGUCACACAACUCUAUUAAUGAAUGAAAAAGUCUAUCAAUAAAGCCCAAGAAGAGGCCCAUAAAAAAUCCCAAAAACGUACAAAAGUAUUGGUGGUGCAUGCCUUGGCUGAAAAGAAAAGAGAAAGCUAAACCUAAACAUGGCCGCAAGGAAGAGCUCCGUUUCUUGGCUGAGUGACGACGAAGUAGGCUUAAUCGUCAAGUGGCUCACCAUCUCAGGUGAUAGUAGUAAAUCGUUCUCCGAGGUCUGCAAGCAAUGGUGGAGAGUGGAGGGUCUAAAUCGCACAUCCAUUCGUCUUCUCCAACUCGAUAAUCUCCGGCGUGUACUUCCCAGAUUUCCAAACCUAGUGAAAUUUGAAACAUCCAAAUGUAUCACCAAAGAUGACCUUGAGUUCUUGGCCCAAACAUGUCCCAAAAUCACGAACAUCGACCUUGGGAAACCCAGAGAUGAAUAGAACCUAGGGAUUCUGUUUGAAUCUGGAAGGGUGUGACAGAACCACAGAUUUAGGGUUAGGUUUUCUUGCAAAUGGGUCUUGCUCGAAAACCCUAAAGAAAUUGGUUCUUGCUGGGUGCAGCAGAAUCACCGAUUCCGGGGCCGGUAUUUUGCAGAAGAUGUCUUGCUUGGAAGAGCUGCAUGUCCUUGGACCCGGCGGAGAGGUUCAAUGAAUAUUAUUUUUUUGAUGGGGAGGUUCAGUGAAGAUAGACUUAGAGCAGCCAUGAACAUUCAAACACUCGAGAAACUGAACUUCGGAAAUAAUUGUUACGUACUUGUUGAGAAGAACUAGCUAGCUCGUAACUAUAGCUUUGAUUUGUUUACUAGUGACUACUUUUACUGCUGCACACUGUGUAUGUGUGAACCCUUCUGACUAACUUAGCUUUGAUUUGUUUACUAGAACGUACAUUCAAACACUCGAGAAACUGAGCUUCGGAAAGUAUUAUUACUUCUGGAGGAUAACUCGUAACUAAAGCUUUGAUUUGUUUACUAGAGAGUCAGUGACUAGUUUUACUGCUGCACUUCAAUAUCUCUUCUUAAUCUGAAGGUAUUCAUGAUCAAAUCAGUAAAUUACAAAUUAACGUGUAGGCUGUAGCCUAGCUAAGACCUAAAGAAAACAACAAUUACCAGCUCUCUCAUUAAUUUAUACCAUAUAUAUUUUCGAAUGUUGUUCCACUUAUAACUGUAUGUUCGAGUUCCUAUUCUUUGUUAAACUAACUUACCCUAAAAUGAUUACUAAAAAAAAAAAAAAAAAAAAACUUAACCCUAAAAUGGUCAGGAUAGUUCACUUCGAAUCACCAAGCAGGGUCCUCCAUCAAGCCAGGUCGAUCGCUUUUGUUAUUCACGAACUUCUAGUCGUUACUGUGAUCAAAACCAUACCCUGUAUAUAUCACCAUCAACUUUAACAUAUGCAUAUAGAAUUCCUUUAGAUCGAUUUACAGAAAAACAAAUACAAAUAGUUCCCUAAACCCAUUUCAGCAAACAUGGAUGCUAUGAUGAAGAAGUUGUCCACCAAAGUCCUAGAGAUGCUGCUACAUCCUUAUUCUAUGCGCAUUCACACAAGCGGCCAUCAUCCCCAGAAGAAGAGAACUAGAGAAGGCAUCAAUGCAUGCAUCAUGUAGCCGGCCGCAAGGUGAAACGUACCAGCCCACGCUAUGAGGGAAACGCUCGAAAUGCCAUAUAUGUUUGCCAUCGAUCUUCUAAAAUAUGUAGUGUAACACGUACAACUUGAGGAGAUCAAAUUAACAGGCGCGUGAUGAAGCUCUGAAGCCUCAUUCGGGAUGGAUUCAUGAACUUUGGUUUGGCAUGGCUUUCGGUGUGUUUUCUCAUAGUAAAUUUAAGCACAUUCUAAACACCUUACGAUGAAGCAUCGUCAUUGAUAGUCGCAUAUUUGUGCGACUUUUAUCAUGCUAAUUAUUCUUAUUACUUAGUUAUUUUGUGAUGUUUUCCUAUUUUUAAUUAACUUUAUUUGUUUUUAGGUGUUUUGAAGUCAAACAAAGAAAAUGAGAUAAUUGGGCUUAAUUAGGAUCCCUAAUCCUAGUUGGGUUGGUGAUGGAAGACAUAUAGGUUAACUAACCUAUUUCUACGUGAAAAGGGAGGGGAGAAAGAGACGAACAAGGGAGACAAAAAGAAAGGGAGCAGCCGAACCAAAGAGGGAGAAAGAGAAGAAAGAAAGAGAAGAAAAAGAGAGAGAAAGAGAAGAAAGAAAGGAGAGGAAAAAGAACUCGAUCGGCAAAAAUCUUCUUCAAUCAAGUUUUCUUCUUCUCACCCUUAUUUCAUAUUCCAUGUAUUCUCUGAUGUUCUUAAUCAAGAUUAUGUGUAACUAAACUCCUUAGUAGUUAGGGGCUGAUCAAAGCCCUAGGUAUGUCUUCGAUUUCAAACCCCAAUUGAUUUAUAUAAUUUUAGAUGAGAAUUUCUUCACUGAUUGUUCAUUGAUAAUUCUAUUGCAUGUUUCAUUGAGUCGACACUUUGAUGCAUGUUUUAGGGUUUAUUAUUUUGAAUAUGUUUAUGACUGACAUAUCGUUGCAUAUUCUAUGAGAGAUAACAAGUUCUUUCCAGGUACUUGUGUGAAGUGAUUCCUUGGUAAUCUAAGGCUACCGACAUUGACCUUAGAUUCUUUGUUGCUACUCAAAUGUUCUUAGAUCUUUAUGAUUUCAGUUAUUUUGGUCUAGAUACCGACAUUUCAUAGAUCAAUUAAUUGGGAAUAUAGUUAAGUCGAUACCGACAUUUCACUUAACAUGGCAAGUAAGAGAACGUAAUAUGGUUAAUGACCUAACGACAUUGGCUUAACUGUGAGUGCAUUCAUCUUUAGUCAUUGACAUUGUUUUGGGGUGAUUGAAGCGUAUCUAGUGGUGGAGAGAAGUUCCUGGCUAUUGUUUCUCUCAUAUUUACAUCCAUAUUCACUUUUUAAUAUUCUGUUUUCAGCAGUACUUCUGUUUUAUCUAUUUUUGUUCAUCAAUCAAACCAACUCCGAAUACCCUCAAAAUUUGUGUGGUAGUCCGCCACUGUGUCUAGUUACUGUGUAUUUAAUUUCAUAAUUUUUGGUUCAGUCUAGAUUAGCUAAUUAAUUAGGUUUUGCUCCUAGGUCGAGUCUGCCAGAUUUCUGGUUUACGCGUCUGUUUGUGUUUCUUGUGUGUUUAAUUCUUAGUAUCACCAAUCCUCUGUGGUAAUGACCCCUAUUUGCCGUUUACUACAUUGAUAUAAUUGAUUUGAUAAUAGGGUAUCUUUGUAGGUGCUUUGCGCCUAUCAAAUUUUGGCGCCGUUGCCGGGGAUUGUUUAAUUCUAAGUCUUAAAAGUGUCUUUGUUUUUAGUUUUGUCUUUGUUUACUUUAUUUUUCUUUUUGUAGUCUUACGUCUAUACUUGUGUGCAGGAGCAUUGUGUAUGCAUACUCGUCACUCUACAAGCUCUGAACCACUGUUAUUUGAUCAAGAGAUUGAGAGAGCAGCAAAACAAAACAGGAAACAGCAGAGACUACAGGUGAACACGAGUAACAGUGGUGGUGAGAAUUCUGAGCCUGAACACCAUUCUGAUUCAGAGAUCGAGGAACUGGAAGAGCAACAUAUUCNNNNNNNNNNNNNNNNNNNNCUUUGGAAGCUAUGAUGCAACAAAUGAUGUUUGAUAGCAAAAGGAAAGAGAGGAAAGCAGUGCCUUCCGCCAUGAGAUCAAGUCCACCACUCAGCAACAAGGGAAGGCAAUUGACUUGUUAGAGCGCCAAGUGAGCCAAAUCCAACAAACUCUUGCUCAAGUCAACCCAGGACGUCUUCCCAGCAGCACUCUUCCUAAUCCUAAGGAUCAACAUGAAGUCAAUGCAAUGGUUCUGAAAAGUGGGAAGGUGUUGGAUGCAGUUCCAGUGGUCAAGAAGCCAAGAAGAAAGUGGGAAGAGCCUGUAUUAGAGCAGAUCAUGCCUGAGGAGCCAUCAAAAGUCAGUCUAGGCACCCCAACCCAAUCCGUUGAGGAAUUCUCUCAACCUGUUGAGAAUGCACCUAGAACAAAAGUUGAGUCAAGAUCAAAACCAGCCACGGUAUGUCCCUUAACCUCACCUUUGAUUAUCACUAAUGUGCCUUUUCCUAGCAGGUUACAGAAACAGGUGAAAGAGGAAAGGACAAGGAGAUCCUAGACGUCUUCAAGAAGGUUGGGGUGAAUAUUCCAUUGUUGGAUGUGAUCAAGCAGAUUCCUCAGUAUGCAAAAUUCCUCAAGGACUUGUGCACUACAAAGAGAAAAUUCAAAGGAACCGAAACAGUUGCCUUGAGUGAGAGGGUGUCCGCUGUACUGCAAAGAAAGUUGCCACCAAAGUUAGGUGAUCCGGGACGUUUCACUAUUCCAUGCACUAUUGGUGAUCACAGGUUUGCUGGUGCUCUUCUUGAUUUAGGUGCCUCCAUAAAUUUAAUGCCAUAUGCCGUGUAUGAUAGAAUGAAUAUGGGAGAACUUUUACCUACUGGGAUAACCAUUAAACUUGCUGAUCGAUCUAACUGUUACCCUAGAGGUAUUAUAGAAGAUGUGUUAGUACAGGUUGGUGAUUUGAUUUUUCCAGCGGAUUUCUUUGACAUAUGCAAACUAUCGUUAUGCUUGACAUAUGCAAACUAUCGUUAUUAAUAUUGUCAACCUAAUUAAUAGAUUUGAGUCAUUUGACAAAUAUCGAUCAUAGAGAACCAUAUGCAUUGUUAAGAGAUUGGACUCUCCAAGUUCAUAGUCAAACACAUGCUUAGUUGAUCAGGAAUUAUGUUGUAUGGGGAACAAAUCAAAUCUUUGUAUCAUUGCAACCUCAAAAAGCCAGUCAUUGGCUCAAAAGUAGGGGCUAGGCAUGCACGUCAUGCUGAGUGCAGUAGUCACCUUGUAUUAUAAGUUUAUAACUUCACUUGCAUCCAAUCAAAUAUUGACUUGGACUUCAGGACCAGUAAUCCCUCUUUCUUUCUUGUUAUUAUUAUUUUUUUUUCUGAUAUCACUAUCAAAAUUGACUAUAUUAUUCAUCCACAACACCAAUUAAAUACCCUCCCAUGCCAACAUUUGUCUGUCUGAGGACUAAUGAAAAAUUAAGAAACUGAUCGAGCUUUUGACAUGGCAAUAUUCAACUUGUAGAAUACAUGAAUCCAUGAAAUUUUGUGGAAAAUGGUGCCUUUUGACUCUCUCUUGAUGAUCAGGACUAAAACAUACAAAUUAGCAGACCUUAUCACUUGGAGGGAAAUAUCUUAAUUAAUACAUUCUUAUGCUUCUAGAGAAGGGUUUGAAAGGUCAGAUAUCACCAACUUAAGAAAAUAUAUAUUAGCUUUUUCAUAAAAGGUUAUGUCUUAUUAAUAACAUGUAGCAUUGUGGAUGCUGCAUAUAUACAUGGUGCCUUCAAAAUCAUGGACUAGAAGAAAUUAGCAUUAAUUUACGCACAGAUUAAGGCAUUAAGAGUUUAGGUUGAUCUUGUCGAGAUAUGAAUCCAUAUCGGGAAUAAUUGAGGGUGAAUGAUCAAACUUGAUGAAGAAAUAAUUGCAGGGUGUAUAAAAGGGUACAAGUAUAACUUGGAGUUGUAGCAAUGAAGAUGUAGUUUGAUCCUGCUACUACUACCACCAUUUCACCAAAGCAAAGUGAAUUGCUUGCUACUCGAUCUUUUAUUUUUGAUAAAAGAAAGAAUAUAUUAGAUGAAGGUGCCUCUAAUGCACCCAAGGUUUACAAUGUCAAAGAUAAGAGCAGAAGACACUUUCAGGGGAACACACUCCUCCCAGCAGUAUAGGUUACUCAGCCUAUGUCCAAGAUUGGCUAAAACAUUAGCCACAAAUUUGCUUGCUACUCUUUGACUGCAUACUUUUCAGUUGUUAAUUAAUAGCUGACAAUCAUAUAAAUCCAUAUGUAUCAUACGAGCAAAACCCCAAAAGACUUUGUAGAAAGUUACAAACCCAGCUGUCUUCUAGACACCUUUUCUACACAAGCUUAUACCAACAUUAGAACUUUCCACUUUAUCAUGAACUUAAAAUUUUGGAUUAAUUACAAAAUACUACCCGAACUAUGAUGUUAUUUUCAUUUUCAUACCUAACUAUCGAAAACUUGCAUUUUCAUAUCCGAAGUUUCAUUCCGUUAGCAUUUUGAUACCCUGACUAUUAACAUUGUUAAAUUUUGAGGGCAUUUUCGUCAUUUCAAUAAAUAUAUCAUUUUUUACAUUUACUUUAACAAAAUAAUUUAUUUUUUGACGUUAUCAAAUACAAAUAGAUAGAACAAUUUACUUUAGCAAAAAUAUUCAAAAAAAAACUCCAAAANNNNNNNNNNNNNNNNNNNNAAUUGUUUUAUUUGUAUUUAAUAACCUCAAAAAAUAAAUUAUUUUGUUAAAGUAAAUGUAAAAAAUGAUAUAUUUAUUAAAAUGACGAAAAUGCCCUCAAAAUUUAACGAUGUUAAUGAUUAGGGUAUCAAAAUGCUAACGGAAUGAAACUUCGGGUAUGAAAAUACAAGUUUUCGAUAGUUAGGUAUGAAAAUGAAAAUAACAUCAUAGUUCAGGUGGUGUUUUGUAAUUAAUCCUAAAAUUUCAGUUCACACUGUGUAUGUGUGAACCCUUCUGACUAACUUAGUCAUUCCUUCUGCUAUAAAUAUAGCACACCAUGUUUGCUUCCCUCACCAAAUCUCUCUUUUUCCUUUUUUAGAGAAUCUAAAAAUUUCCUUUCUUCUUCUUCUUCUGAUUCUACUCAGUUUGUAAUCAAAGCUCUUUUUGAUCUUCAAUUGCUCACACUGUCCCUCAGAAUUCAGCACCAUGGAAGCUCAAUACAGCCCAAGGAAGCCAGAGCCAGUUCAGGCAAGAAUUCCUCCACCUAGAGGUCUAGUUAAAAUCAGAAUCUUCAAAAAGCUGUUUUUGAAGGUAAAGAGUGCAGCAUCAAUUGUAACUGGAAUGAGAAAAAAGAAAUGAGGAGGAUGCAGUUGAAGAUUCAGUCUCUACAUGCACGUAUAUGAGGCCAUUUUAAUUAGUUUAAGUGGGAAGCAUCAUCAAUACUAUAGUUAUGUAAGAGUUCUAAGCCAUAUUUGGUGGCAAGCUAUGGAUUUUGUAGAUUGGGGACUUUAGAAGUGCAUUUUCAUUUCAAGCUUUAGUAGUUGUGGUUGUUUAUGCUUAGAGCUAGAUGUGAUCACAUCGGAAUAAAAUAAGACAGCAGCGGUCAUGAUUAGAGUUCACCUGUUUCAAUCACAUAUAGUUAAGAAACAUAUUUCUCUUUUUUAUGUAAUAUGGUAUUUAGCAAGGUUACUAUGUAACUGUGUGGUUGCUGCUUUGGCCUCCUAAUAGUAUUUAUAUCAAUCUCCUUUGGGUAAACUAUGUCUGAUCGGUUCAUCAAUAACUCGAUCAUACAUUAUAUUGUUUAGAGAUUGUUGGUAUUGUUGUUUAAAUCGAUUUUUUUCCAAAGAACCAUUAUGUAUUGCUUUCUAGAAAAGCACCUAUAUGUGGAAGCACUUUCAAAUGGAACACUGUAAUCUCUAACAAUCCUCUCAUCUUGGUUGCAGUACACCGGUCAAACCCAAUUUGUAUUAACAAAGACAUUAUAUGAUGUGAUCCAUGUCAUUUGUCAGAUGUGGUUUUGCUUGGGUAUAACAACCUAGUUACAGUAUCCCUUUGUCUAUUCUAACAUUUGUCUUUGGUCCAACUCAGGAAUCCCCCACUUUGCAUUCACACUACAUGGAGCCUAUUGUUUGCUUCAAUCCAACUUAUCUAUGUCAUGAGCUCCCUCCAACACAACCAUAUGUAAUAUUUAAGCUCUGAAGAUUCAGAUUUCCUUGAUUUUAUUGUGAUCCAAGUCUCCGACACCGAUCACAGUGUCCCUUCACACCAGAAUUAACGUUAAAAUUCUUGAUACCAGAAUCCUAUAAGCCUUCAUCUUAUAAUUCUCUCAAGCUACCAAGUCUAGAUACAGUGAAUGAUUUCUAUCCAAAUGUUUUCUUAGCUUUCCUGUUGAUUUCACAGUUCGUCGGAAUCUCUACUUGGUUGAUUCUUAUACAUCUAAGUUCCUACUAUAUUACACUUCUUUUCUCAGUCAUUCUCCACCAACUUUGCAUUUAUAGAAACUUGAAUACAACACUAAGAGCUAGUAGAAGGUCAACAGAAGCAAAUAGUAGCUUACAGUAAAAGCUGUUUUGGACAAUAUAGAAUAGAGUAAGCAGUAUUAAGAGUGCAACUUCUUAGACCAUAUAAACAUGGCUUAAUAUGUAGAAAUUCCAAAACAAAGAUGUAGAACAAACCUAUAAAAAUUAGAAGUGAACAAGAGAGAACACAUGAAUUAUAAGAAUGAGUGACUUAAAAUCAGAAAUUUAUGCACAGCUAGUGGUAAUUCAGGUUGUUUUUAAUUUGCUCAACCAGUAAAAAAAAUGUUCUAAAUAAAAUAAUGUUGACGUCUCAACGACUGAAUAUAUGAGGUUAUCGUAAGAGAUAAUAACCAUUUGCACAAAAACAGGUCUAGCUUGAGAACUCGUGAGUCCUACUGAGCACUUGCCAUGCCAGUCUAUUACAAUCAACAGCCGAUUUCUGAUCGGAAAUUCUUUGGCAUCUGAUUAGUAUUAAUUUAAAUGUUCCAACAGGGAAUGUACUCUAAAAAUUAUAGUCUAUCAAUAAAGCCCAAGAAGAGGGCCAUAAAAAAUCCCAAAAAACGUACAAAGAAUUGGUGGUGCAUGCCUUGGCUGAAAAGAAAAGAGAAAGCUAAACCUAAACAUGGCCGCAAGGAAGAGCUCCGUUUCUUGGCUGAGUGACGACGAAGUAGGCUUAAUCCUCCAGUGGGUCACCAACUCAGAUGAUAGAAAAUCGUUCUCGGAGGUCUGCAAGCAAUGGUGGAGAGUGGAUGGUCUAAACCGCACAUCCAUUCGUCUUCUCCAACUCGAUUAUCUCCGGCAUGUACGUCCCAGAUAAUUGAGAUUGCUAAACUUGGUGAAAUUUGAAACAUCCAAAUGUAUCACGCGAGAUGACCUCGAGUUUUUGGCCCAAACAUGUCCUAAAAUCAAGAACAUCGGCCUUGGAAAACCCAGAGAUGAAGUACAAACAGAACCUAGGGAUUCUGAGAUCGAUGUUAUGUAUGCUUUGGCACACAGCUUCUCGAAGUUGUCGAGGGCCGGGUUUCUUUGAGAAAUAGAGGCUACAGUGGGGGAGCUAUUACUCCGUUCAUAAAAGCACAUAACAAUUUGAUGUAUUUGGACUUGGGGUAUUGCUGUGUGUUAGAUGAAACCCUUGAAGCGAUUGGGUCGUUGAGUUGUCUAUUCUAUUUGAAUCUGAAGGGGUGUGACAGCAUCACAGAUUUAGGGUUAGGUUUUCUUGCAAAUGGGUCUUGCUCGAAAACCUAAAGAAGUUGGGGAUUGCUGGGUGCAGCAUUCCGGGGCCGUUCUUUUGCAUCAGUUCUCUUGCUUGGAAGAGCUGUCCUUGAACGAGGCGAACAGGUUUGGUGGAGAGCAGUCCUGAACAUUCAAACACUCGAGAAAGUGAGCUUGGGAAAGUUUUGUUACUUUGUGAGGAGAACUAGCUAGCUCGUAACUAAAGCUUUGAUUUGUUUACCAGUGAGUACUUUUACUGCUGCACAUCAAUCUCUUCUUAAUCUUAAGGUAUUCAUGAUCAGAUCAGUAAAUUACAAAUUAACAUGUAGCCUAGCUAAGACCUAAACAAACAUGUUUAACAACAAUUACCAGCUUUCUCAUUUAUGCCAUAUAUCUUUUUGAAAGUUGUUCCAUUUAUGUUAUCUCCUUAUAAUUUUGUUCGAAUUCCUUUUCUUUUUAAAAUUUGGUUAGCAACUUUUAUAAUUUUGUUCGAAUUCUUUUUUUUUUUGAAAUUUGGUUAGCAACUUUAAUGUAAUUUACUAAUUAACUUACCCUAAAUUGGUCAGGAAUUCGGGAUAUAUAGUUCACUUUGAAUCAUCAAACAAGGUGCUUCAUCCAACCAGCUCGCUUUUGUUAUUCACGAACUUCUAGUCGUUACCGUGCUCAAAACCAUACCACCCUGUAUAUAUCACCAUCAACUUCAACGUAUGCAUACUGGAACGCACGCAUAUAUAAUUCCUUUUCAUUUCUUUGCCCAUAGAUUUACAGAACUAUAACGUACGAGUACAACUAGUCCCCUAAACCCAUUUCAGCAAACAUGGAGGCUAUGAUGAAGAAGUUGUCCACCAAAGUCUACGUACUGACACUUGUUCUAUGCGCAUCAACACAAGCGACCAUCAUCUCCCCAGAAGAAGAGAAGGCUUGCAUCAUGUCGCCAGCCGCAAAGACGGCAUAGGCGGAGGUACAACUCAAAAAUUUGGCUUUACAUGUAUUUGGCAUUUGAAAUCUAGCUGAAUUGAAGAAAUUUGUUAAUGAUGACACCUCUCAUUUCUAAUCUCUGGCUCCGCCUAUAACGGCAAAGUGCUUUGUCAACAAAUUUCGAUCUCUUAUAAUAAUGGCAACAAAUUAACAUCGAUCUCCUGUACAGGUGUGUAAUGAAGCUCUGAAGCUCAUUCCGGAUGGAAUCAUGAACUUAGGUUUCGCAUGGCUUUUGGUUUGUUUUCUCAUAGUAAUUAAACUUAAGCUCAAUCUAAAUUCCUUACGAUGAAGCAUUGUCAUGCUUAACUUAUCUGCAAGUAUCACACUCUAUAGAUAAAGAUUAAUUACAAAAGACCCCUUGAACUAUAGGGUCACUUUGAGUUUGAUACCCAACUUCUGAAAUCUUACGUUUACAUACCUGAAGUUCUCCCCGUUUGACAAAUUAGUACCUCCGUCGGUCACCCCAUCAAUUUAGGGCGUUUUCUACUGACAUGGCACCCCUGGGUCCCACAACUGUCAGAUUUAUAUCAGAUUUGAGGGUGUUUUCGUCUAUUUGGCUGUCUUUCCCGAACUUGACUACAUCUGCCAAACCACAACCCAGCAAUACAGUGAUGCGAUUUCAUUCAAAUUUAAAGCCAAAUCACAGCGCAGCAAAAUCAUUAAUCAACAAAACUCUGCUAUCUCACCAAAAAAAACAGAGCACUUAAGCUUAAAAAAAGACAAAGCCAAAUAACAACCCAGAAAAUAAACUAGAACUUGGCAAAGAAGAUUUAAGCAAAAGAUUCAGAAUAAUCCAUUGCCAACAAAAGGACAAGACAUGAGUUUAACAUCCACACAACAUAUAUUACAUCAUUCAUGCUCAAAAGAACUCAAAAUCACUGACCUCAUUGGCAUAAGAUAGCAAAAAUCACUUGCAGAAAGAACCAAAGUCCCACCAGAGUUCAAAAUACUACAUGUACUUGAUACUGGCAUUCUUUGGAUGUGGUUUUCAUGGACAAAAGAUAUAAACCAAUAUAUCGUACCUUCUUAUUUCCUGUUGUUUUCUUUUCUUUUCUUUUUUUGUUCCUGAUGUUUACUGUCAUGAGGAUGAGACUCGAUCAGCAAGACUAUACAUCCAAAGAGCAAGUCAAUAACCAUAACAAAGUGGGUUCUUUAAAUCGCAGCUAUCAAUGUUCACAAGUGGCUCCUCCACACAUCCUCCAUUUCGACCUCCUUCUGAAACAACAAAUUUUCAAUUGAAUCAGUACAAUCACUACAAUGUGUUUUGCCGAUUAACACAGACAAUCCAAAAGACUUACACAGGAAGAAAGACAUUGGCUUCAUUAAUUUGCUCCUGCUUGUUCUAAGAACAUUGGCUAUGGCUAGUCAGUUUGGUUUUGUGGCUUGAAUUCCUCAUCUAUGAAUAUAAAUCUCAAAAACUAUCUGAGGGUUUCUUAAUUUCCUGUUCAUGAAUCACACUACCCAUCAGAUAAGAUAAAACAGAAUUGCUCAUCUGUUUGGAAUUACACCAAUACAUUAAAAUUCAAGUCUCUUCCGCUACGAAAAUAAAACUAAUCAAAUCCAAUCCAAAAUCAAUACAGCAGAAAAAGAAUGAGAUAUACCUUUCCAGACACAAAGCAGACAAUGCAACAGAGAGACUUGCAGCCAUCGCAGGUCUUCUGCUUGUCCUUGGAAGGGGCAGAAGAGUCUUUUAACCAGCUUUCGGCGACUGAGCGCCGCUCUGCGCGGCGGAUUUGGCGAUCCUUCUCCACCCAUUUCAGCUCGUUGAUCGACGGAGCGUAGUGAUCAAACCCCAGGCCUCGAAGAAUUGUAAAAUCGAGAUGACAUCGCCAACUAGGGUUUUGCGGACGUCGGCGACAAUGAGGGGGCGGCCGGGGUUGGGGUUUUCGCCCGGCGAGCAGAAGUUGAAGAAUUCAGAUCGGAGCAGGGUUUGGCAGAUAUAGUCAAGUUCGGGAAAGACAGAGCCAAAUAGACGAAAACACCCUCAACUCUGAUAUAAAUAGAACAGUUGUGGGUCCCAGGCAUGGCCACCCUGACUGAAGUACUAACUUGUCAAACGGGAGAACUUCGGGUACGUAAACACAAGAUUUCAGAAGUUGGGUAUCAAACUGAAAAUGACGCCAUAAUUCAGGAGAUUUUUUUGUAAUUAAUCCUAUAGAUAAUGGUCAAGUUUGGCAACUUAAUUUACAUUGUUUUCAGUGGGGAUCCCAUUGCUUAAUACCACUUCAGCUCAGAAUCGAUACCGAUUAGGGUACCAAUUAAUUACCACAUAAUCAAGGUUUCCAAGUGCCCACAGAUUAUAGUUGAAUGAGUCCAAUCUUUGUCAAGACCCUCUAAACUGCCGUAUAUUGCAUCAAACUUUUAUAGUCAUCUCAUAAUCUAGGAAGAUUUAUUAUUUGUAUGCGUUAAUAAUAAAUAACCUCUUUCUCAGGAAACUAAGAACUCCAUAUAUGUCACCAAUAUCAUUAGACUCUUCCAAGUUCAUAGUCGAUCAAACAUGGAUUUUCCGAUCAGGAAUUAGGUUGUAUGGGGAACAAAUCAAAUCUUUGUAUUAUUGGAACCUCAAAAAGCCAGUCAUCGGCUCAAAAGUAGAGGGUUAUAUGCAUGCACAUCAAGCUGAGUGCAGUACAGCAGUAGUCACCUUGUAUUACUUGCAUUCAAUCAAAUAUUGACUUAGACUUCAGGACCAGUAAUCCCUCUUUCUUUCUUGUUUUUAUUUUUUUUGAUAUCACUAUCAAAAUUGACUAUAUUAUUCAUCCACAAAACCAAAUACCCUCUCAUGCCAACAUUUGUUUGUCUGAGGACUAAUGAGGUUUCACAUUCUUUUCACAGAAAAAUUAAGAAAACUGUCAUAAUCCAAUGGGGUCUAGCUUGAUUGAAGAUGAGGUGGUUGAGCAUUUGACAUGGAAAAUAUUCAUCUUGAAGAACACAUGAAAUUUUGUGGAAAAUGGUGACUUUUGACUCUCCCUUGAUGUUCAUGACUAAAACAUACAAAUGAGCAGACCUUAUCACUUGGAGGGAAAUAUAUUAACAUUCUUCUUCUGCUUCUAGAGAAGGGUUUGAAAGGUCGCAUAUUAUCCUUAUUUGCAUACAGUGCCUUCUAAGUCACCAACUUGAGAACAAAAAAAAAAGCAUUCUCAUAAAAGGGUAUGUCUUAUUAAUAACAUGUAGCAUUAUGAUGUCUUCAAAAUCAUGAACUAUAAGAAAUUAGCAUUUAUGCAUAAAUUAUGGCAUUAAGAGUCUAGGUUGAUCCUGCCACUAAAGAGACAUAUAUCAGUUCCUCUGCUUGGUUUAAUUACAGUUUAUGACUUAUUUAUAGCAUUAAGAUAAUAAGAUCCAGAUUGAUCCUAGUCAUCCUACCACAAAACAAAAAGAAUAAAAAUGUAACAGCAUUCUUCCUAUAUAUGCUUCUAGAAGAAAUUUGCAGGGUGUAUGAAAUUGAAGAAAUAAUUGCAGGGUGUAUAAAAGGGUACAAGUAGAACUUGUAGAUGUAUUUUGAUCCUGCUACUGCUACUGCUACUACCAUUUCGUCAAAGCAAAGUGAGUUGCUUGCAACUCUUUGACUGCAUACUUUUCAGUUGUUAGUAGCUGACAAUCAUAUAAAUCCAUAUGUUAAGCCUUUGAAACCAUAAAAUCAUAUGUUAUUACAAAACCCCAAAAGACUUUGUAGAAAGUUACAAACCCAGCUGUCUGCUAGGCACCUUUUCUACACAAGCUCAGACCAACAACAGAAUUUUCCACUCUAUCAUGAAUUUAAAAUUUCAGUUCACACUGUGUAUGUGUGAACCCUUCUGACUAACUUAGUCAUUCCUUCUGCUAUAAAUAUAGCACACCAUGUUUGCUUCCCUCACCAAAUCUCUCCUUUUCCUUCUUUAGAGAAUCUGAAAAUUUCUCUCCUCUUCUGAUAUUGCAGUUGCUCACUCUCCCCCUCAGAAUUCAGAACCAUGGAAGCUCAAUACAGCCCAAGGAAGCCAGAGCCAGUUCAGGCAAGGAUUCCUCCACGUAGAGGUCUAGUUAAAAUCAGAAUAUUCAAAAAGCUGGUAUUGAAGGUAAAGGGUGCAGCAUCAAUUGUAACUGGAAUGGGAAAAAAGAAAUGAGGCGGAGGAGGAUGCAGUUGAAGAUUCAGCCUCUACAUGGAGAUAUUUGAGGUCAUUUUAGUUGAAGUGGGAAGCAUCAUUAGUACUGUAAUUUGUUAUAGUUCUGGGCCAAUGGUGGCAAGCUAUGGAUUAUGUAGAUCCUGUAUUGGGGACUUUAGAAGUGUAUUUUCAUUUCAAGCUUGAGUAGCUGUGGUUUUUUAUGCUUAGUGCUAGCUAGAUGAGAUCACAUCAGAAGAAGAUAGAAACAGAAUGCCAUGCCAGCAGGGCCAUUACUGAUAAGAGUUCACCUGUCUGUAUCACAUAUAGUUAAGAAACAUAGUUCUCUUUGAGUCUUUGUUAUGUAAUGUGGUUGAGCAAGGUACUAUAUGUAAGUGUGAGGUUGCUGCUUAGCCUCCUGAUAGUAUAUAAAUUUAUCUUUUAAGGGUAAAUCUGUUCAUCAGUUUAACCAUAUAUUGUUUGGGGGCUUUUGGCAUUGCUUGUUUCCACCGAUGUUUUGCAAAGGACCACCCUUUAGUGCUUUAUAAUCUCUAAGUUGAAUUUGCCAGUCAAACCAAUUGUCUUAACAAACAGACAUUAUCUGAUGUGAUCCAUGUCAUAUGUCAGAUAUGGUUUUGCUUGGUGUAAGUGUAUAACAAUCCAGUUACACUAGCUAUCGCUUUGUCUAUUAUUUGUUUCUGGUCCAACAUAUCAUUGUCUGGUCAGGAAUCCUCCCUUUGCAUUCACACUACAUGCAUCCUAUUACAGAUACACAUGCUAUGUAGUGGAUCAUUCCAUUCCACCAAUACAUGGUUCUAUAUGUAUUUAUGCAGUACCAGAAGAUGAUUUGUAAACAAAUGAAAGAUGGAAAGAGAAAGAAACAUAGUAGACAUAAUCAUAAACUCAAAAAUCUUACAUAAGAAAUAAGAUAGUAGAAAUAAAGUCUCAAAUUAGUCCUACUUAAGCCAAUCCUAGUAGACAUAAUUAUAAACUCAAAAGACAUACAUAAGAUGGUAGAAAGAACAAAUCUUGGCAGGGGUCCUACUUAAGCCAAUCCUUGGCACAGAUAAGAGCCUCAAGACUUGAAGGAGACAAGGAACUAUGGAUAGUUUUGACGGCGGUAGUAUCAAAAACAUAAUCAUAAUCAAGGGUGGACACUGGUAACGCCAACACAUCACAAGCCAUCCUAGACAGAGUCGGGUAUUUGGCCUUGUUUUGUUUCCACCAAACCAAAACAUCAAAUCCUCCUCUUCUCCCCCUUGUGCUGUAUACAACAUCUUCAAGGUACUGGUCAAGCUCUGACAACUCAGCAAACUUCCUCUUGCGAGCUCUUUCGCUCAUUUUCCAUUCUUGAAUCAUAAGAUCAAAAUUAUCAGUAAGGGAAAGAGGAGCUGAAAGAGGAACAAAAGGCUGAUCUUCAUGUGAUGUACUUGGAGACUCUCUUUUGAUGGUUUCCACACUUCCAUCUUUUGUUGGUGUUUCUUCUUGCAUAGAAUAUUCUAACCAUAGCCUGUGCAUUGCAUCACGAACACUCUCCGCUCGUUCCUUUGCCUGCUCACCAUAUAUUUGACUGAAUUCUUGGUGCAAUGUUGUCAAUUUCACUCUCGGAUCGAGAAUAUAAGCAAUUGCAAGGAGAUUAUAGCAGCUUUCCCAAUAUUUUUCAAACUUUUGGUGCAAAGGCGUGGUCAAGAGUUUGAUAAAUGGAUCCUCACUAUUAGCUGCACGCUUCAAUUCCCCUUGAAUUUUGGCCACUACUGGGAAGAAUGCAUCUGCGUAAGCAUAUUGGUGGGCAUUCACCAUUUUGGUUGCUUGGAAGAAAUAGUUCAUGUAUGUGAUUAAGGUUUCUACUUGCUUCCGCUCCUCAAUAGAUACAACUAUCUUGUAAUCAAGAUCAUUCGAACUCAAACAACCAAAGACAUUCUUCAAUUUCAAUGCAACAACCAGGGACGGAACCACAGUAAAAGCUGUAUGGGCUACAGCCCAACCGAAAUUUGGGCCAAAAAACCCCUAGGUAUAUAUAUAUAUAUAUCACAGCCCAG
RNAcentral lists this long non-coding RNA (17155 nucleotides) under Fragaria vesca (wild strawberry). RNAcentral describes it as "long non-coding RNA (FVES_LNC003794)". The record is from RNAcentral. Lineage: Eukaryota; Viridiplantae; Streptophyta; Magnoliopsida; Rosales; Rosaceae.